AAACCAUGGUGAUGACAUUCUCUAAUGUACCCUUUAUAACGAUCCCAAGCUUCAUGAAAAAGUUCACCUUUUUUUCUUUAAAACCUAUAAAUCUUGUCUUAAAGAAGUUU
This is a small nucleolar RNA of Eutrema salsugineum, 110 nucleotides long. It matches the Rfam family "Plant small nucleolar RNA R71". From Rfam's summary of the family: R71 is a member of the C/D box family of snoRNAs containing the C (UGAUGA) and D (CUGA) box motifs. Multiple nearly identical copies of this snoRNA have been identified in Arabidopsis, and it is thought to function as a 2'-O-ribose methylation guide for 18S ribosomal RNA. Lineage: Eukaryota; Viridiplantae; Streptophyta; Magnoliopsida; Brassicales; Brassicaceae. The record is from Rfam.